GUGUCAGCCGCCGCGGUAAUACGUAGGGGGCAAGCGUUGUCCGGAAUCAUUGGGCGUAAAGCGCGUGUAGGCGGCUGACUAAGUCCGCUCUGAAAGCCCGGGGCUCAACCCCGGGAGGCGGGUGGAUACUGGUCAGCUCGAGUCCGGAAGAGGAGUGUGGAAUUCCUGGUGUAGCGGUGAAAUGCGCAGAUAUCAGGAGGAACACCAAUGGCGAAGGCAGCACUCUGGGACGGUACUGACGCUGAGACGCGAAAGCGUGGGGAGCAAACAGGAUUAGAAACCCCUGUAGUCC
RNAcentral lists this ribosomal RNA (292 nucleotides) under uncultured bacterium. Its description in RNAcentral is "partial 16S ribosomal RNA". It matches the Rfam family "Bacterial small subunit ribosomal RNA", at positions 505 to 796 of the family's 1533-position model. The record is from RNAcentral.